GAGGUUGUAGCUCAAUUGGUAGAGUGCCUGCUUAGCAUGUGUGAGGUCCUGGGUUCAAUCCCCAGUACCUCCA
RNAcentral lists this transfer RNA (73 nucleotides) under Camelus bactrianus (Bactrian camel). It matches the Rfam family "tRNA". Rfam says of the family: Transfer RNA (tRNA) molecules are approximately 80 nucleotides in length. Their secondary structure includes four short double-helical elements and three loops (D, anti-codon, and T loops). RNAcentral also lists the same sequence under 2 other names. The record is from Rfam by way of RNAcentral. Lineage: Eukaryota; Metazoa; Chordata; Mammalia; Artiodactyla; Camelidae.